UGAAAACUCAAACCUAAAUCCCUCCAUAGCCGCAUACCCUUUCCAAACUUUCCAUACCCUUCUUCAACAAUUGGCUUCUCUUUUCACUUGAUAAAAGCAAAAUCAAUCGAAGCCCUAGAUUGCCCAACGGCCGCUAGCUCGUGAGAAUUUAUGGGUUUAAGUCUCGAAAAGUGAACAAUGAAAAAGAUAAAAAAUGGAGCAAGAGAGAAUCCAUCGCUUUUAUAUUCAAAGAGCUAUAGUUUGUCGAUUGCAACAACAAAGCGAUGUUAUGGGGAGAAGAUCUUUUUAAGAAGUUUAAAAAGUCUACAGGCAGAUUUGUGGAAUGAGAGCAUAUGAGUGACAAACUAAGACAGAUGUUGAUCAAGCUAAGGUGCGGUUGAAGACCAUGGAAAGAGAGAAAGGGGAAGACUAUACAGCUUUGGACUCAAACAAGAUUGUGUCAUACAAAAAUUGUGUAUUAUUACUAUAUUGAAAUUGAAAAAUACAACUAUCAGUUUUUUUUUUUUUAGAUCAAGUACAAUUAUCUGUAACUUGAAACGUGU
Molecule: long non-coding RNA, 542 nt
Organism: Lycium barbarum (goji berry)
Lineage: Eukaryota; Viridiplantae; Streptophyta; Magnoliopsida; Solanales; Solanaceae
Exons: 3
Source: RefSeq, a predicted model, not a curated record